Molecule: ribosomal RNA, 253 nt
Filed under: uncultured bacterium
Lineage: Bacteria
Description: partial 16S ribosomal RNA
Rfam family: Bacterial small subunit ribosomal RNA
Source: RNAcentral
UACGAAGGGGGCUAGCGUUGCUCGGAAUUACUGGGCUUAAAGGGUGCGUAGGCGGUGCGGAAAGUUGGGUGUGAAAUACCUCAGCUUAACUGAGGAACGGCGCUCAAAACUACCGUGCUCGAGGGAGAUAGAGGUGAGCGGAACUUAGGGUGGAGCGGUGAAAUGCGUUGAUAUCCUAAGGAACACCGGUGGCGAAAGCGGCUCACUGGAUCUCUUCUGACGCUGAGGCACGAAAGCUAGGGUAGCGAACGGG